GCUCAUGUGACAAGGAAUUGAGUUAUUUGAGUGAGCUAUCAUGGAAAUGGACCUGCUGAUUUCCUGAUUUCAGGGCAGACCUUGAGCCAGAACCACCUACUUGAAUUCCUAACCCAAGAAAUGUGUUCUCACUCUAGCUACACAUCAAAUCUAUUACCUUUUAAAACUGCACAUGACCCUGGCUCAGAUUCCAAAGAAUUUGAUAAAAGAUCUGAGAUAUCAAUUAGAUGUGAUCUGCCUUCUCCCCUAUACAUAAUCAAAAGAGUAGCUGCUACUUAAAUGUGGAGGAAACUCAUAUAUGGAAUCAAAACAGUCACUGAAGAAAAAAAAAAUUUCCUCUUCUAAAACUCAAGGAAGGUGAUGACUUGGAGACUGUCUAGCAAUUGCUGUGCAUUAAUGGGGUGACAGUCAGAGGAAGACGCCUGGGGCAGAAGAGCUUCAGUGUAAGGAAAUCAGCCUUUACUGCUCUGCCCAAUCAUGUCAGCACCACUGCUCUUUCAAGGGGCUUCCCGCCAUUGUUGCUCCCUGCUCCGGAACACCCCAUGCUGCCAAAG
Molecule: long non-coding RNA, 554 nt
Organism: Prionailurus viverrinus (fishing cat)
Lineage: Eukaryota; Metazoa; Chordata; Mammalia; Carnivora; Felidae
Exons: 3
Source: RefSeq, a predicted model, not a curated record